Molecule: ribosomal RNA, 274 nt
Filed under: uncultured bacterium
Lineage: Bacteria
Description: partial 16S ribosomal RNA
Rfam family: Bacterial small subunit ribosomal RNA
Source: RNAcentral
AUACGAACCGGACAAACGUUAUUCGGAAUCAUUGGGCUUAAAGGGUGCGUAGGCGGCGUAGUAAGUGAGGUGUGAAAGCCCUCGGCUCAACCGAGGAAUUGCGCUUCAUACUGCUAUGCUCGAGGGAGACAGGGGUAAGCGGAACUGAUGGUGGAGCGGUGAAAUGCGUUGAUAUCAUCAGGAACACCAGUGGCGAAAGCGGCUUACUGGGUCUCUUCUGACGCUGAGGCACGAAAGCUAGGGUAGCGAACGGGAUUAGAAACCCCAGUAGUCC